UAUUCUUGUCCUCUUGUCCAGGCUUUAACAAUACAUGCUGGACAAGUGGAAAAGAAUGCC
RNAcentral lists this microRNA precursor (60 nucleotides) under Ornithorhynchus anatinus (platypus). RNAcentral's name for it is "microRNA oan-mir-7423 precursor". Lineage: Eukaryota; Metazoa; Chordata; Mammalia; Monotremata; Ornithorhynchidae. The record is from miRBase by way of RNAcentral.